AGGCUGCUCUGGUGCGACACAAUGAUCGCUGCGUUGCUUCUCCGUCCAAACUCUAACCCUAGCUCGCGAUUCUCCGGCAUGGACGUCUCCCUCUACGGUCGACGGCGUCGCUUUUUCGUAAGAAAUUCCCCCGUUUCUUGCUUCUUUUUCUUCUCUAGCAAGAAAUGGGAUUCCUUAGCUGGUGAUUUCGUGCUUCGAGCCGCCGUUGAAGAUCGCGGAGAAUCCUAACGCGUCUUGAGGUCGAGGAACAAGCGCAUGAAAACGUCGGAUGAUAAUUCCUUAGCUGGUUAGAUGUUUAAUGUCAUUUACAAGUGAAAGAGUGGGGAGAGGAAAUGGUCUCCCACCAGUGGAAAAAUCCUAAUUCUUAGGUCAUUAUUGUAUAUUAAAUAAACAUCUAGAAAGAUGAUGCCUAACAGCAUGAGGAGUGAUGAUGCCUAACAGCAUGAGGAGUUGCAAAAAACCUGAGCUGUUAUUAGAACAGGGAAGGACUAAAAUUGUUCGAAAAAAAAAUGAAGCCAAUUUGAUCUAUGAUCUCAUAUUCUUAUGAGAGCGAACAGUUGCCAGAAUAAUUAUUCUGUAUGUCAUCAGAAAGGAACUCCCUGAACAAGCUAGUCGACCAUACCGCAGCUCAUGUUGGUAUGAUGUAUCAUAACAUCUCGAGAAUUUUGAAGAUGUAUUCCAUCUGUGUUGAGGCUGCUGCCUGGUGAAGCAAUUGUCAUAUUGAAGACCUGGACAGCUUCACAAUUAUCAAACUUGAGGUGGCACUGUUGACUAUUCUGGAUUGUGAUGCCAGUUACUGUCACAUUGUAACUCCCAUAGAACCUCAAAGCCUGCAAAACAGGAUUAGAUAAGAACAUGGAUUCAAAAUGUUAUUCAUAUUGUCUUGGGCAUUGCUUAUUUUGUGGCAGCAAGGUAAAGAAUAGAAUCUUACAGUUGGCUUGA
Molecule: long non-coding RNA, 942 nt
Organism: Musa acuminata AAA Group (dessert banana)
Lineage: Eukaryota; Viridiplantae; Streptophyta; Magnoliopsida; Zingiberales; Musaceae
Exons: 2
Source: RefSeq, a predicted model, not a curated record